RNAcentral lists this ribosomal RNA (272 nucleotides) under uncultured Brevibacillus sp. Its description in RNAcentral is "partial 16S ribosomal RNA". It matches the Rfam family "Bacterial small subunit ribosomal RNA", at positions 524 to 796 of the family's 1533-position model. Lineage: Bacteria; Bacillati; Bacillota; Bacilli; Caryophanales; Paenibacillaceae. The record is from RNAcentral.
UACGUAGGUGGCAAGCGUUGUCCGGAAUUAUUGGGCGUAAAGCGCGCGCAGGCGGUUAUGUAAGUCUGAUGUUAAAGCCCGGGGCUCAACCCCGGUUCGCAUUGGAAACUGCGUAACUUGAGUGCAGAAGAGGAAAGUGGUAUUCCACGUGUAGCGGUGAAAUGCGUAGAGAUGUGGAGGAACACCAGUGGCGAAGGCGACUUUCUGGUCUGUAACUGACGCUGAGGCGCGAAAGCGUGGGGAGCAAACAGGAUUAGAAACCCCGGUAGUCC